UACGGAGGAGGCAAGCGUUAUCCGGAAUUAUUGGGCGUAAAGCGUCCGCAGGUGGCACCUCAAGUCUGCUGUCAAAGACCGGGGCUUAACUUCGGAAAGGCAGUGGAAACUGAACAGCUAGAGUAUGGUAGGGGCAGAGGGAAUUCCCGGUGUAGCGGUGAAAUGCGUAGAGAUCGGGAAGAACAUCGGUGGCGAAGGCGCUCUGCUGGACCAUAACUGACACUCAGGGACGAAAGCUAGGGGAGCGAAUGGG
Molecule: ribosomal RNA, 253 nt
Filed under: uncultured bacterium
Lineage: Bacteria
Description: partial 16S ribosomal RNA
Rfam family: Bacterial small subunit ribosomal RNA
Source: RNAcentral